CGGGUGCACUGAUCCGGCCGGGCCUUUCCCUCUGUGGAACCCCAUGGCCUUCACUGGCUGUGCGGGGGAAACAGGACUUUUACUGUGAAAAAAUUAGAGUGCUCCAGGCAGGCCUAUGCUCGAAUACAUUAGCAUGGAAUAAUAGAAUAGGACGCGUGGUUCUAUUUUGUUGGUUUCUAGGACCGCCGUAAUGAUUAAUAGGGACAGUCGGGGGCAUCAGUAUUCAAUUGUCAGAGGUGAAAUUCUUGGAUCUAUUGAAGACUAACUACUGCGAAAGCAUUUGCCAAGGAUGUUUUCAUUGAUAAGGAACGAAAGUUAGGGGGAUCGAAGACGAUCAGAUACCCGUCGUAGUCUUAACUAUAAACUAUGCCGACUAGGGAUCGGACGAUGUUAUUUCUUGACGCGUUCGGCACCUUUCGAGAAAUCAAAGUGCUUGGGCUCCAGGGGGAGUAUGGUCGCAAGGCUGAAACUUAAAGAAAUUGACGGAAGGGCACCACCAGGGGUGGAACCUGCGGCUUAAUUUGACUCAACACGGGGAAACUCACCAGGUCCAGACACAGUGAGGAUUGACAGAUUGAGAGCUCUUUCUUGAUUCUGUGGGUGGUGGUGCAUGGCCGUUCUUAGUUGGUGGAGUGAUUUGUCUGCUUAAUUGCGAUAACGAACGAGACCUUAACCUGCUAAAUAGCCCGUACUGCUCUGGCAGUUCGCCGGCUUCUUAGAGGGACUAUCGG
This 731-nucleotide ribosomal RNA is filed under the name uncultured eukaryote. Its description in RNAcentral is "SSU rRNA". It matches the Rfam family "Eukaryotic small subunit ribosomal RNA", at positions 670 to 1426 of the family's 1831-position model. The record is from RNAcentral.